UCAUGUUUUCUCUGUUUUUUUUCGUCUAAUUUCCUUCCCUCUGCUUUUGUCUGCAUGCUUCAAAGAUACCAUUAUUCAAGAGCAUUUUAUUUUAGGGAUUUCUGCACAGUUCCCUGCAAUUUUUUUUUUGUUUUAUCAGCUGUUUUUCUGGCCGUUCGAUCAUCCUCUAGAUUUGUGUAGAUUGGGCCCACACCCACUCCAUCGGUUUCUUUUUCUCUCCGCCAGCACACGCGCGCAGGGUACUAUUCAAAAUUCACAAACCACGUUCUCAUCUGGUGGGGGGAGAGGGGAAAGGGGAUUUCACCACCGUGGUUGCCGGACUCGCCGGAGCAGCACCGCGAUGCUCUCUCCUUCUUCUCCGGCGGGCAGAGCCCCUAUUCUCGAGUUUCACCAUCAACAGAGAGGAACCCCAUGCAUAGGAUCUAUGGUUGCAGAUCAUAUUUGUUCUGUGGAGUCAGGGAUGAUUGUUGAAAGCAGAGAAGUUGAGAAGGUGGUGGUCGUCGGCGAAUCAUCUGCAGGCCAAAUCGUGGGCAAUGUUGGCGCAACCAUGGGUGGUGUGAUGGCUGGUGGUGUGCUCAAAAACUCCCAGCCAGCUUGCUGUGUGGAUCCCGGGCGAUCUGUACCUUUGAGCAGUAAUGGAGCUGCAACGAUUCACAGGUAUGACGUAUGUCUGCAACAACUACCGAGAAGCCCGCCAUGUAUGCGUAGAAGUAGUAGAAGUGAUGGGCAUCUUCCUCACUAUCAAACUUCAUGUUAACAUAUGGUUUAUGGAGCGAAAAAAAGACUGACAGUGACAAAGUUGGAUCAUCAUUAUUCCUAUAAGAGCUAAUACAUUUGAAAUAUGCUAUUUUUUGAAGAUAAGUCAUGUUACCAAUUUUGUACUGAAAUAAUACAUCAUUUUUAUAUAAGCGGGUAUUAUUGUUUCAAUACAAAUAAUAGAACAACAUACCUUUGUUUGUAGACGAAUCA
RNA transcript from Oryza brachyantha (malo sina), 969 nucleotides. RefSeq lists it as uncharacterized. The transcript has 3 exons. Lineage: Eukaryota; Viridiplantae; Streptophyta; Magnoliopsida; Poales; Poaceae. The record is from RefSeq and is a predicted model, not a curated record.